AUGCCACCUCCUAGGGUGACCCUACAAACAAUAUCUUCACAGGCGUUGCUCACCGAGGAAAAAGUCAUUCUCUCUCUGGCCACAGGGAGCCCCACAACUACCGUUAUGAGUCCUGGGGAGAAGACAAGGGGGAGAGCAAAAGCCACGGCCUCUAAGCUGCCUGCCCGGAGCCACAGGAGUUGCUGUCCACAUUAAGCCACAGGCGGAUAUAAAAAUGGAAGGUACGAGAAGAAUCCGGUUGUUUGGUUAACUGCAGACAGUCCAAGUGUAGCUACUUGAAUGGCUCUUGAUGCUUAUGUGAAUGAUGGCAUAAUGCGCUUGUGCUUACAAUGUUAGAAUUGACUGAAGGUCAUAGGUAAGUCCCAUUUCGUUUUCCAGCGCUAUUAACAGCACAUCAGUCAACACACAAAUGUUUCUGUAGGUUAAGCGACAGGUCAGUGUGUCCAGCUGGAUGUGACCAAUAACUUCACUCAGAAGUUCAGGAGUGUAAUUUAAAGUCACUUUUGUUGUGAGCCUCCGUUCCUGAGGUGAAAGUGGCACCGGUCACAUCCCUUGAGAAACACGGGCCUGUUGGCUGACCUCUGUAGCACCACAUUAGACAGAACGCUAGAAACUGGUGGUUAAUCCCUCCACAAGGAAGCUCAGUGCGUUGUGCUGGCAGGAAAUUAUGGCUUGGUUAGAGCAGAUGUAGGGCUUUUGUCAUUGUUACUCAGUGCAGAAAAUGAAAGCACAAGGAGGCAAAGUCAGGCGGUAGGUCGGGGACAUGGCUUCUGAGUCUUAUCCACUGUCAGGCCAGCAGUCCGACCACGAGGCUACACGUGUCACUUUACAUAGUGUACAAGCCUCCAAGAUUUCAGUGUCAGAAUCAGUGUUAUCCUAAUGAACUCUGCCCUCUCCCCUCCCAUCCCCCUUCAUAUUUUUUGUCUCUUUCUCUCUGCAGAUACACUGAAUAUGUUCUCAGAUUUCAGAUAAAUUUGGAACAUUUUCAUUUAUAAUCCUAAUUAGCAGACAUGAGAGGAGCUGACCUCUUUUAAGUAACUGGAAAGGUUGAGUCAUUGAGGCCUGAGUAACCAAGGUCAAAAUAUGAUGCUGAGCACACGCCUUACAGUAAUCUAGUUUGGACUUUACAACAUUAGAGAUAUUAAACUAUAAAUCUUCAAAACACAAAGAUCUACUUUUCCUCUAUGAAAAAAUAAGAUACAGUUGUUUUUUAAACUGGAAAUUGUUAAUGGAAGAGAGUCAUAGUAUUUCACGUAGCUGCAGUGCAUCCGCUCCUGUUUAGGUCUAUUCACAUUAGCAAUAAUACUUAGGAUAAAGCUGCUUCUGUCUUUAAUACAGGAUCUGUUAUGUCACGAGAGGUUCAAUGCCUGCAACAAGCACCAUUACAUAACGAUGCUUCAUCCACACUAUAUUGGCAUGCAUUAGCCAACAAGGAUGAGAGGCAUGCAGCUGUGGGAAUCGAUGUUCCUCUUUACAUGCUGCAUCAGAGAUAUGAAAAUGGGUCCAAGGAGCAGGUGGCCUGAUAUUUCUUACUACGUUUCCUCUUUCUCCCUAAGAGGAAGAACAAGAACAUCUCUGGUUCUCUUACACUAAUCCGUGUUCAAAAUUGAUAUAAUUUGUUAGAGCAGGUUAUUACAGCAUUACGACGACUCUGACCUCACAGCAUCUUCAGUGUUAAAAGCAGGAGUGAGGAGGGACACACUGCUCCACAUGCAGUCCUCUGGAGCAGCACCCAUUCAAUAAAGAUUUCAGAGUGAAAGGAGCGCUUACA
Long non-coding RNA from Coturnix japonica (Japanese quail), 1771 nucleotides. The record is from Ensembl. NCBI's taxonomy places the organism in Eukaryota, Metazoa, Chordata, Aves, Galliformes, Phasianidae.